AUGCGACUUGUGGCUGCUGUGGUGGCAGUAAAAACAAGGCCUGAAAGCGAGCGCCUCCAGUUUCGUCUGGAUCAGGUCAAGCCCGGCGGAAACACCCAUAAGAUCUGCCUGGUGUGCUCCGAUGAGGCCUCUGGGUGUCAUUAUGGGGUGUGGCUCACCUGUGGCAGCUGCAAAGUUUUUCUUCAAAAGAGCCGUAGAGGGGCAGCACAACUAUCUCUGCGCUGGAAGGAAUGAUUGCAUCAUCGACAAGAUAAGAAGGAAAAACUGCCCGGCAUGCCGCUUUCGCAAGUGUCUCCAGGCCGGCAUGAACUUGGAAGCUCGAAAAAACAAGAAACUGAUGAUGCGAUUACGGUCAUCGUCCUCAAGUGAGCAGGCCCCAGCUCUGCCUGAAGAGCGCAUGUGUUCGCUGGUGCCCAAAGCCAUGCCCAGCUGGUGCCCACCAUGCUGUCCCUGCUCAAAGCCAUUGAGCCUGAGAUCAUUUACGCGGGUUACGACAGCACCAUCCCGGACACCUCCACCCGCAUCAUGACCACACUUAACCGUCUGGGAGGCCGUCAGGUCAUCUCUGCAGUCAAGUGGGCUAAAGCCCUUCCUGGCUUCAGAAACCUGCACCUGGAUGACCAGAUGACGCUGUUGCAGUGCUCCUGGCUCUUCCUCAUGUCCUUCGGCUUGGGCUGGAGAUCCUACCAGCAGUGUAACGGAGGCAUGCUGUGUUUCGCUCCAGACCUCGUCAUCAAUGAGGAGAGGAUGAAACUACCCUACAUGAAUGACCAGUGUAGCCAGAUGCUGAAGAUCACCAGUGAGCUGGUCAGGCUGCAGGUGUCCUACGACGAGUAUCUCUGCAUGAAAGUGCUCCUCCUCCUCAGCACAGUACCAAAGGACGGCCUUAAAAGCCAAGCUGUGUUUGAUGAAAUCCGCAUGUCGUACAUCAAGGAGCUGGGCAAAGCCAUUGUUAAACGCGAGGAGAACUCCAGCCAGAACUGGCAGAGGUUCUACCAGCUCACUAAGCUUUUGGACUCAAUGCAGGAGAUGGUGGAGGGGCUUCUCAACUUCUGUUUCUACACAUUUGUGAAUAAAUCUCUGAGCGUGGAGUUUCCUGAGAUGCUGGCGGAGAUCAUCAGCCAUCAGCUACCAAAAUUUAAAGACGGGAGUGUCAAGCCUCUUCUGUUCCAUCAGAAAUGACUGCCUUAAGAUCAUAACAAUGCCUUAAACGCCACUCUUUUAUUACCAGCGCUAGUCCAGCCUGCCCGUUUUCCCCCAAACAUCUGAAUGAAUUGAGGGAUACAGUCGCUUUUGCUUGAUUCUCAGAGGAAAGAGGUGACUUGCACUCUUCAGAAAUGUUCAUGGAGCAGGUGUACUUGGAGCAGACAGAAUAUGACUUUUAGUGAUAUUUUCUCUCUCUCUCUUUUUUUUUUUUUUUUUGCAUGUACACUGCUGAAAUGUUUACAAAGGUAUAUCAAAAAAGGGAAAUGUGCCUUUUUUGCGCUUUGCGAAUCGAUUUCGAACAUUUCUCAGGCUAACGCAAUGACUUUGCAUUCAGAAUUUCUGUUGAUGAUUCACAUUCAUCACGUCCGUCUCUGCCCGUGUCUAAACCUGCCGCGGUGGUUCUCUGGAAGUGGCAGCUCCAAAUUCUGAAGCAGCCCAUGAAACAUAAGACCAUAUUAUGCUGUUUUUUUAAAUCUCAUCGAAUCUCCAAGCCUGGAGCACCAUGGAAAACCACAAGAUAAUUUGAUUCAAAUCAAAAUCUGUUCCAUGACUGACAUUAAAUACUGAGUUGUUUCUCUGUUUUUUUGAAUAGGUUCCACUGAAAUAUAAUUUGUAGGGAUGGAUAGGUCUCCCAAAAAACUCUUCCCCAAAUUCUUCCACUGUUUAUUCACUCUCAUGUUGUUCCAAACCCGUAGAACACAAAAGUCUUGUAAAAGUGGCUCAUCUGUGACUCAUUCUCUGUGUUCCAAUCUUAUGAAUUCAUACGAUAGCAUGGUGUGAUGAGCAAACCCAAAUCAAAGUCAUUAUUCACUGAAAAUGUCUCCCUUAGUGAGCUGUUGAGAACCAGAUCAGUCUGGUUCAUUUAGACAUUUUAUGAUCAACUGAUUUAAUGUGAAAAUCUGACUCGAAAAACAACACAUUUAUGAAUCAGACAUUUUCGUCAGUCCUCAUUGUUUAUCACUACUUUGGGGGGGGGAAAAGUCCAGGAUUUAAUAUAUAUAUAUAUAUAUAAAUAAAAGAAAACUAUUGUUAGAGAGGGUUUUUUUUUAUGUUGAUUAUUUGCUCAGGUUCACAUAAAAAUGGCCAUUUUUACUUGUAAGCAUUUGGAUAUAAAAGAGAGAGAGGUGAUGGUAAGUCAUGUGAUCUGUGAAUGAGUUCAGGGUUAAUUUGUCAGAUUUCCAUCCAUUCUGGUCAUAUUGAGAUUAGCAUAUCCCAGCAUUCCCCUGCUGUGUGUUCAUGUCAUUCAGUCAGUGUUUGUGCUUGUUUGAAGCUGCACAUCUGCCAACAUCUCAGACUUCUUCUUCUUCUUUUUCUUUUUUCUGUCAUCCUUGAAAACCGUUUUUAAUUUAAAUGUUUUUUUUUUGGAAUGCUCUCUGCAUAUUCUAAAUCCGGUAACCCAUAUGAGGCCCACAAGUUUU
This is an RNA transcript of Cyprinus carpio (common carp), 2624 nucleotides long. It is a transcript of the gene named glucocorticoid receptor-like, with no coding region annotated. Lineage: Eukaryota; Metazoa; Chordata; Actinopteri; Cypriniformes; Cyprinidae. The transcript has 8 exons. The record is from RefSeq and is a predicted model, not a curated record.